AUUGAACGCUGGCGGCAUGCCUUACACAUGCAAGUCGAACGGCAGCACGGGAGCAAUCCUGGUGGCGAGUGGCGAACGGGUGAGUAAUAUAUCGGAACGUGCCCAGUCGUGGGGAUAACGUAGCGAAAGCUACGCUAAUACCGCAUACGAUCUAUGGAUGAAAGCGGGGAUCGCAAGACCUCGCGCGAUUGGAGCGGCCGAUAUCAGAUUAGGUAGUUGGUGAGGUAAAGGCUCACCAAGCCGACGAUCUGUAGCUGGUCUGAGAGGACGACCAGCCACACUGGGACUGAGACACGGCCCAGACUCCUACGGGAGGCAGCAGUGGGGAAUUUUGGACAAUGGCGCAAGCCUGAUCCAGCAAUGCCGCGUGCA
This 372-nucleotide ribosomal RNA is filed under the name uncultured bacterium. Its description in RNAcentral is "bacterial SSU rRNA". It matches the Rfam family "Bacterial small subunit ribosomal RNA", at positions 30 to 405 of the family's 1533-position model. The record is from RNAcentral.